RNAcentral lists this long non-coding RNA (243 nucleotides) under Sorghum bicolor (sorghum). RNAcentral describes it as "long non-coding RNA (SBIC_LNC016525)". The record is from RNAcentral. Lineage: Eukaryota; Viridiplantae; Streptophyta; Magnoliopsida; Poales; Poaceae.
GCAUUUUUAAAAGAACAUGAUAAAUAUAUAGCAGCUCUCCACGGCACAUGCAUUCUCUAAAGCCAUGCCACAAAUUUAAUUUACAGAUUUUGCAUCAAAACUAUAGGAGCAGUGGUAUAGUACUCUAAGUUCCAACAAUGGCUUCAAUCUGAGGUCAAGCUCAAUUGUGUACUUGUUGAGAUAACCAUUCAGCCCAUCUAUUCCAUGUACCUGGAAAUUAAAGGAUGUAACAAUAGUUAGCAC